RNAcentral lists this ribosomal RNA (1372 nucleotides) under uncultured bacterium. RNAcentral describes it as "bacterial SSU rRNA". It matches the Rfam family "Bacterial small subunit ribosomal RNA", at positions 28 to 1381 of the family's 1533-position model. The record is from RNAcentral.
GAUGAACGCUGGCGGCGUGCCUAAUACAUGCAAGUCGAGCGAACGGACGAGAAGCUUGCUUCUCUGAUGUUAGCGGCGGACGGGUGAGUAACACGUGGAUAACCUACCUAUAAGACUGGGAUAACUUCGGGAAACCGGAGCUAAUACCGGAUAAUAUUUUGAACCGCAUGGUUCAAAAGUGAAAGACGGUCUUGCUGUCACUUAUAGAUGGAUCCGCGCUGCAUUAGCUAGUUGGUAAGGUAACGGCUUACCAAGGCAACGAUGCAUAGCCGACCUGAGAGGGUGAUCGGCCACACUGGAACUGAGACACGGUCCAGACUCCUACGGGAGGCAGCAGUAGGGAAUCUUCCGCAAUGGGCGAAAGCCUGACGGAGCAACGCCGCGUGAGUGAUGAAGGUCUUCGGAUCGUAAAACUCUGUUAUUAGGGAAGAACAUAUGUGUAAGUAACUGUGCACAUCUUGACGGUACCUAAUCAGAAAGCCACGGCUAACUACGUGCCAGCAGCCGCGGUAAUACGUAGGUGGCAAGCGUUAUCCGGAAUUAUUGGGCGUAAAGCGCGCGUAGGCGGUUUUUUAAGUCUGAUGUGAAAGCCCACGGCUCAACCGUGGAGGGUCAUUGGAAACUGGAAAACUUGAGUGCAGAAGAGGAAAGUGGAAUUCCAUGUGUAGCGGUGAAAUGCGCAGAGAUAUGGAGGAACACCAGUGGCGAAGGCGACUUUCUGGUCUGUAACUGACGCUGAUGUGCGAAAGCGUGGGGAUCAAACAGGAUUAGAUACCCUGGUAGUCCACGCCGUAAACGAUGAGUGCUAAGUGUUAGGGGGUUUCCGCCCCUUAGUGCUGCAGCUAACGCAUUAAGCACUCCGCCUGGGGAGUACGACCGCAAGGGUGAAACUCAAAGGAAUUGACGGGGACCCGCACAAGCGGUGGAGCAUGUGGUUUAAUUCGAAGCAACGCGAAGAACCUUACCAAAUCUUGACAUCCUUUGACAACUCUAGAGAUAGAGCCUUCCCCUUCGGGGGACAAAGUGACAGGUGGUGCGUGGUUGUCGUCAGCUCGUGUCGUGAGAUGUUGGGUUAAGUCCCGCAACGAGCGCAACCCUUAAGCUUAGUUGCCAUCAUUAAGUUGGGCACUCUAAGUUGGCUGCCGGUGACAAACCGGAGGAAGGUGGGGAUGACGUCAAAUCAUCAUGCCCCUUAUGAUUUGGGCUACACACGUGCUACAAUGGACAAUACAAAGGGCAGCGAAACCGCGAGGUCAAGCAAAUCCCAUAAAGUUGUUCUCAGUUCGGAUUGUAGUCUGCAACUCGACUACAUGAAGCUGGAAUCGCUAGUAAUCGUAGAUCAGCAUGCUACGGUGAAUACGUUCCCGGGUCU